This 292-nucleotide ribosomal RNA is filed under the name uncultured bacterium. RNAcentral's name for it is "partial 16S ribosomal RNA". It matches the Rfam family "Bacterial small subunit ribosomal RNA", at positions 505 to 796 of the family's 1533-position model. The record is from RNAcentral.
GUGUCAGCCGCCGCGGUAAUACAGGGGGCUCGAGCGUUAGUCGGAAUCACUGGGCUUAAAGGGUGCGUAGGCGGCUCAUCAAGUGUUUUGUGAAAUCCCCGAGCUCAACUCGGGAACAGCAGGGCAAACUGGUGAGCUUGAGGCAGGUAGGGGCCGACAGAACAGUAGGUGGAGCGGUGAAAUGCGUAGAUAUCUACUGGAAUGCCGAUGGGGAAGCCGGUCGGCUGGGCCUGUCCUGACGCUGAGGCACGAAAGCGUGGGGAGCAAACAGGAUUAGAAACCCCGGUAGUCC